GUGUGAGCGGAGGAGAGGCAGAGAGAGAGCGGGACAGAGGAUCCAAAGCAGAAUCCAUGACAGGAGAGAGCAUGAUGUGGGGCUUUGAACUCAUGGAGCCUGAGAUUGUGACUGAAGUCGAAGUCAGACGACACACAACCCACUGAGCCACUCAGUGCUGCGGCAGUUCCUUUGAACAGCAGCAACAGCAACAAAGAACCAUCCAUGCCAGGACUGGUGUGGGCAGCUGGCACAGAAGCUCGUCGGCUUGGAGCCCUAGGCCUGGGCAGCCUGGCCAAACUGCAUUUCUCGGGAGGUCCUGAUGGAUGCUGAGGACUUGCUGCCUCAGGGAUGUGGCCCUAUCUCCCAGGCCACGAAGAGUUCUGGAAUCGGGACUCCGACAGGGAGCAGCAAAGGGAACUGACAGCUUCUAAAUGCCUUUUUCCUUAUUGAGCUGCAAGGAGAUGCAAUGUUGGGCCAGACAAUGCCUAGGCUGGGGAGAGGGUGAUAUGGGGAGCUGGUGUCUUACCUUAGUCUUUGAACUACACCCUUCCCAACCUAGUUGAGAACAGUGACCAGUGUCAGAAAUCACCUCUCACACCCUUUUGGUUAGAGAGAGAAAUCACUCCCUGCUACUGCCUCACAUCUUCAUUCACACUUUGACGAUUGCUUUGAACUCACUGAUAGUCAUCUGUGUCUGUCUCCACCAGCUGAUGUGCUGACAGAAGUUCACAACCAGCUCUUCAGAAAAAAAUGUAGACAUAUCUACAUAUACCUAGGUUUAUUAUAUUGCAUGAUA
Molecule: long non-coding RNA, 778 nt
Organism: Felis catus (domestic cat)
Lineage: Eukaryota; Metazoa; Chordata; Mammalia; Carnivora; Felidae
Exons: 3
Source: RefSeq, a predicted model, not a curated record